GGGGUGAGAGAAUGUUCCAUUCUAAGUCGUGGAAUUUGGGUUUCUUCCUGUAGGCCGUGGAGAGCCACUGAGGAGCCCUGAAGAGGGGAAGAGACAGCCGCCCAGGAGGCUGCUGCAGCGGUACAGAUAAGGGACCGUGCUGACUCAAUGCAGAGGAGCAGAUUUGGGAGAUGUGCCCCAGAUCUCAGCCCUAAUCUAGGCACGAGGAACCUUUUGCAGUAUUUCAGUUAAGCCGAAGACUUU
This 243-nucleotide long non-coding RNA is filed under the name Ictidomys tridecemlineatus (thirteen-lined ground squirrel). RNAcentral describes it as "lncRNA (ENSSTOG00000033633.1)". The record is from RNAcentral. Lineage: Eukaryota; Metazoa; Chordata; Mammalia; Rodentia; Sciuridae.